Molecule: non-coding RNA, 89 nt
Filed under: Picosynechococcus sp. PCC 7002
Lineage: Bacteria; Bacillati; Cyanobacteriota; Cyanophyceae; Chroococcales; Geminocystaceae
Description: Synechococcus sp. PCC 7002 Photosynthesis regulatory RNA1
Rfam family: Photosynthesis regulatory RNA1
About the family: Formerly known as Syr1 discovered in Synechocystis sp PCC 6803, is a regulatory factor controlling photosynthetic functions.
Source: Rfam by way of RNAcentral
GCAAAGUACCAUGCGCCGUCUUGACAUUGAGUUUCUCCUCUCAUACAGCAAGCUCAAACUGACCAGCCCUGAAGCUUAGGCUGGUUUUU